ACCCGUUGAUCCUGCGGGAGUUCGCUACUAUUAGGGUUCGACUAAGCCAUGCAAGUCAGAGGGGCUCUUCGGAGUCACAGGCAAAAUGCUCAGUAACACGUCGUUAAUCUAACCUUAGAUCUGGAAUAACCUUGGAAAACUGAGGCUAAAACCGGAUAUGGGAAAAUAAUUGGAAAAUGUUUUCCUUUAAAAGCAAUGUCUAAGGAUGAGACGGCGGCGGAUUAGGUUGUUGGCGGGGUAAUGGCCCACCAAGCCGACGAUCCGUAGGGGCCGUGAGAGCGGUAGCCCCGAGAAGGACACUGAGAUACUGGUCCUAGCCCUACGGGGUGCAGCAGGCGCGAAACCUUUACAAUGCACGAAAGUGUGAUAAGGGAACCCUAAGUGCUCAUGUUUUACAUGGGCUUUUGCCAAGAAUAAAUAUCUUGGCGAAUAAGUGGUGGGAAAGACUGGUGCCAGCAGCCGCGGUAACACCAGCGCCACAAGUAGGGACCACUACUAUUGGGCCUAAAGCGUCCGUAGCCGGCUGAAUAAAUUUCUUGUGAAAUUGUUGGGCUUAACCUAACAACGUGCAGGAAAAACUGUUCAGCUUGGAACCGGGAGAAGUCAGGAGUAUGCUGGGGGGAGCGGUAAAAUGUUAUAAUCCCCGGUAGACUACCAGUGGCGAAGGCGCCUGACUAGAACGGAUUCGACGGUGAGGGACGAAAGCCAGGGGAGCGAAGCGGAUUAGAUACCCGUGUAGUCCUGGCCGUAAACGCUGCGAGCUAGGUGUUGCAUAUUCUACAUGAAUAUGCAGUAUCGAAGCGAAGGUGAUAAGCUCGCCGCCUGGGAAGUAUGGUCGCAAGGCUGAAACUUAAAGGAAUUGGCGGGGGAGCACUACAAGGGGUGCGGCGUGCGGUUUAAUCUAAUUCAACGCAGAGAAUCUCACCAGAAGCGACGGCAGGAUGAAAGUCAGGCUAAAGGUCUUACUUGACGAGCCGAGAGGUAGUGCAUGGCCGCCGUCAGCUCGUGCUGUAAAGUGUCCUGUUAAGUCAGGCAACGAGCGAGACCUGCAUCUACAAUUGCUAACGGAUUCUUUAGAAUGACUGAGCACAUUGUGGAGACUGCCCUGGAAACAGGGAGGAAGGUGCAGGCUACGGUAGGUCUGUAUGCUCCGAAUCUUCUGGGCUACACGCGCGCAACAAUGGUAAGGACAAUGGGAUGCGACUCCGAAAGGAGGAGCUAAUCCUCGAAACCUUAUCCAAGUCUAGAUUGAGGAUUGUAACUCAUCCUCAUGACAAUGGAAUCCCUAGUAAUCAGAGUUUAUCAUACUCCGGUGAACAUGUCCCUGCUCCUUGCACACACCGCCCGUCAAGCCACCCGAGUAGGGUUUAGGUGAGAGGUAAAUUUUAUUUGCAUCGAACCUAAGCUCAGCGAGGAGGGCUAAGUCGUCACAAGGUA
This 1437-nucleotide ribosomal RNA is filed under the name metagenome. RNAcentral describes it as "bacterial SSU rRNA". It matches the Rfam family "Archaeal small subunit ribosomal RNA". The record is from RNAcentral.